CCUACGGGUGGCAGCAGUCGAGAAUCAUUCACAAUGGGGGAAACCCUGAUGGUGCGACGCCGCGUGGGGGAAUGAAGGUCUUCGGAUUGUAAACCCCUGUCAUGUGGGAGCAAAUUAAAAAGAUAGUACCACAAGAGGAAGAGACGGCUAACUCUGUGCCAGUAGCCGCGGUAAUACAGAGGUCUCAAGCGUUGUUCGGAAUCACGGGGCGUAAAGGGGGCGUAGGCGGUUUCGCAAGUCGGGUGUGAAAGGCGCGGGCUCAACCCGCGGACGGCAUAUGAUACUGCGAGACUAGAGUAAUGGAGGGGGAACCGGAAUUCUCGGUGUAGCAGUGAAAUGCGUAGAUAUCGAGAGGAACACUCGUGGCGAAGGCGGGUUCCUGGACAUUAACUGACGCUGAGGCACGAAGGCCAGGGGAGCGAAAGGGAUUAGAUACCCCUGUAGUC
RNAcentral lists this ribosomal RNA (446 nucleotides) under uncultured bacterium. Its description in RNAcentral is "partial 16S ribosomal RNA". It matches the Rfam family "Bacterial small subunit ribosomal RNA", at positions 338 to 795 of the family's 1533-position model. The record is from RNAcentral.